RNAcentral lists this ribosomal RNA (484 nucleotides) under uncultured bacterium. RNAcentral describes it as "bacterial SSU rRNA". It matches the Rfam family "Bacterial small subunit ribosomal RNA", at positions 28 to 496 of the family's 1533-position model. The record is from RNAcentral.
GAUGAACGCUAGCGGCAGGCUUAAUACAUGCAAGUCGAGGGGCAUCAAGGUACACGAAAGUGUAUUGUUGGCGACCGGCGGACGGGUGAGUAAUAGGUAGGUAACCUACCUCAUACUGAGGCAUAGCUGGGAGAAAUUCCAGGUAAUUCCUCAUGAGGUUAUAUGACACAUGUGAUAUAAUCAAAGGUAUCGCAAGGUACUGGUAUGAGAUGGGCUUACUGACCAUUAGCUAGUUGGUGAGAUAAGAGCUCACCAAGGCGAAGAUGGUUAGGGGUUUUGAGAGAGAGAUCCCCCACAUUGGAACUGAGAUACGGUCCAGACUCCUACGGGAGGCAGCAGUAGGGAAUAUUGGGCAAUGGGCGGAAGCCUGACCCAGCCAUGCCGCGUGAAGGAAGACGGCCUUAUGGGUUUGUAAACUUCUUUACAUGCGACUAACUAGAUUUACGAGAUAAUUCUAUAGAAUGUAGCAUAGCAAAAGCACCGG